RNAcentral lists this ribosomal RNA (714 nucleotides) under uncultured crenarchaeote. RNAcentral describes it as "bacterial SSU rRNA". It matches the Rfam family "Archaeal small subunit ribosomal RNA", at positions 167 to 879 of the family's 1478-position model. Lineage: Archaea; Thermoproteati; Thermoproteota. The record is from RNAcentral.
ANCCUCCACCAGAAAGGGACACAUACGCUUAUGCUUCGUAUGUUUCGCCCCAAAGGAUGGGCCCGCGACCGAUCAGUUGUUGUGAGUUAAUGGCUCACCAACCUUUUACCGUGCGGCCGUGGGAGCGGAGCCCCGGAGAUGGCACUGAGACAAGGCCCAGGCCCUACGGGGCGCAGCAUCGCGAAAACUUUGCAAUAAGCGAAAGCUUGACAGGGCUAUCCCGAGUGCCAUCCGCUGAGGAAGGCUUUUACCCAGUCUAGAACGCUGGGGGAAUAAGGAGAGGGCAAUCUGGUGUCAGCCGCCGCGGUAAUACCAGCUCUCCGAGUGGUGUGGAUGUUUAUUGGGCCUAAAGCAUCCGUAGCUGGCUAAGUUAGUCCCUUGUUAAAUCCACCAAAUUAAUUGUUGGAUUGCGGGGGAUACUGCUUGGCUAGGGGACGAGAGAGGCAGACGGUAUUUUCGGGGUAGGGGUGAAAUCCUAUAAUCCCGCGGAAGACCACCAGUGGCGAAGCUGUCUGCUAGAACGCGCCCGACGGUGAGGGAUGAAAGCUGGGGGAGCGAACCGGAUUAGAUACCCGGGUAGUCCCAGCUGUAAACGAUGCAGACUAGGUGUUUGGACGGCCACGUGCCGUUCUAGUGCCGCAGGGAAGCUGUUAAGUCUGCCGCCUGGGAGUACGAUCGCAAGAUUGAAACUUAAAGGAAUUGGCGGGGGAGCAC